UGGGGAAUAUUGGACAAUGGGCGCAAGCCUGAUCCAGCCAUACCGCGUGUGUGAAGAAGGCCUUCGGGUUGUAAAGCACUUUAAGUAAGGAAGAAAAGAGUAUUGUUAAUACCAAUACUCCGUGACAUUACUUACAGAAUAAGGACCGGCUAAUUCCGUGCCAGCAGCCGCGGUAAUACGGAAGGUCCAAGCGUUAAUCGGAAUUACUGGGCGUAAAGCGCGCGUAGGUGGUUUAUUAAGUUGGGUGUGAAAGCCCCGGGCUCAACCUGGGAACUGCAUCCAAAACUGAUUCACUAGAGUACGAAAGAGGAAAGUAGAAUUCACAGUGUAGCGGUGGAAUGCGUAGAUAUUGUGAAGAAUACCGAUGGCGAAGGCAGCUUUCUGGUUCUGUACUGACACUGAGGUGCGAAAGCGUGGGUAGCGAACAGG
This 429-nucleotide ribosomal RNA is filed under the name uncultured bacterium. RNAcentral describes it as "bacterial SSU rRNA". It matches the Rfam family "Bacterial small subunit ribosomal RNA", at positions 355 to 776 of the family's 1533-position model. The record is from RNAcentral.